AAUAUUGGACAAUGGGGGCAACCCUGAUACAGCAACGACGCGUGUGUGAAGAAGGUAUNAGGAUUNUNAAGAACUUUUAGUAGGGNAAGAGGGCUUUAGGUAUAUACCCUGAAUUUUUGACGGUACCAACAGAAUCAGCAGCGGCUAACUCUGCGCCAUCCGCCGCGGUAAUACAGAGGGUGCAAGCGUUAAGCGGAAUUACUGGGUUUAACGGACGCGUAGGUGGUUCAGUAAGUUAGGUGUGAAAGCCCCGGGCUGAACCUUGGAAUGGCUUUCAUAACUGGUGGUCUAGAGUAGGGUAGAGGGUAGUGGAAUUUCCUGUGUAGCGGUGAAAUGCGUAGAUAUAGGAAGGAACACCAGUUGCGAAGGCAACUACCUGGACUGAUACUGACACUGAGGUGCGAAAGCGUGGGGAGCAAACA
RNAcentral lists this ribosomal RNA (422 nucleotides) under uncultured bacterium. Its description in RNAcentral is "partial 16S ribosomal RNA". It matches the Rfam family "Bacterial small subunit ribosomal RNA", at positions 360 to 774 of the family's 1533-position model. The record is from RNAcentral.